RNAcentral lists this ribosomal RNA (502 nucleotides) under uncultured bacterium. Its description in RNAcentral is "partial 16S ribosomal RNA". It matches the Rfam family "Bacterial small subunit ribosomal RNA", at positions 28 to 523 of the family's 1533-position model. The record is from RNAcentral.
GAUGAACGCUAGCGGCAGGCCUAACACAUGCAAGUCGAGGGGCAGCACAGAAACAGCAAUGUUUUGGUGGCGACCGGCGGACGGGUGCGUAACGCGUAUGCAACCUACCUUUAACAGGGGGAUAACGGAGAGAAAUUUCCACUAAUACCCCAUAACAUCGAUCAAGGCAUCUUGAUUGGUUGAAAACUCCGGUGGUUAAAGAUGGGCAUGCGUUGUAUUAGGUAGUGGGUGAGGUAAUGGCUCACCAAGACUACGAUACAUAGGGGGACUGAGAGGUUAGCCCCCCACACGGGUACGGAGACACGGACCAGACUCCUACGGGAGGCAGCAGUGAGGAAUAUUGGUCAAUGGGGGCAACCCUGAACCAGCCAUGCCGCGUGCAGGAAGACGGCUCUAUGAGUUGUAAACUGCUUUUAAACAGGGAUAAAGCACAGUAUGUAUACUGUGUUGAAGGUACUGUAAGAAUAAGGAUCGGCUAACUCCGUGCCAGCAGCCGCCGUAA